AAUUUGCGCCGCUUGCUUUUCUUCGUCGUUCGUUCGCUGGCUGGAAAAAAGACGCGUCCAUCUUUGCUUGUCGCCGCCGUAGAAAUUUCUCUAAACCUGGGUUUGUGCCGUUUGGAGUGAACUUUUCCGUGAAACUAUCGAGCGUUCCCGUUGCCGGAAGUCGGUGCUAUUGGUGGAUUCUUUUUCCGGUUUGGAUACCCUAUUGGAUAAGUGAUUUUUGAAAUUUGGAAGGAGCUAAAAACGCGCGGAUUUUUUUUGGGUACGUCCAGUACAUUGACUGCUGCCCCCAAACGAGAAAAAAGUCACCGAGGAUUUUUAGGUGUUUCUAGCGACGGCUCAGUGCCGGUCCUUACAGUUUGUGAAGCUUUGGAUUAUUUUCGGUGCGCUAUUACGGCCAAAUACCCGACAUUUUCCGGUUCUUCCGACAGGAUUACGAUUGUGUGAAAGGAUACCAUAGGAAAAUAAAAGUGAUAUAGGCUUAAGUUUAAUGCGGGACAUUGUGAAAUCGGCGAUAACAUAAAAGUACGCCGGCAACAGAACCUAAAACCCGAAAGGUAGAAAAAGUUACACCAAAUUCUGGUAGGACCUCCCCGGGACUCAACAGCAGCAGCUGGAGGAGGAGGAAAGGCAGCAACAGGUGCUGUUUGGGAGCCGGUGUUUGCAGAUACACACCGUCAAAAUACGCCAUCAUUCGCAACUGGACGCCACACCCUAACCUAACAUGUUGCCGAAACGUUCCCGUUUGGGCGAUGUGCGGGGCCCCAUCUCGAAUGGGCCCAUGCAGUCGCGACCCCUGGUUGCCCUCCUGGACGGUCGGGAUUGCUCGAUCGAGAUGCCGAUACUGAAGGACGUGGCCACGGUUGCAUUCUGCGAUGCCCAGAGUACCUCGGAAAUUCACGAAAAAGUAUUAAACGAAGCGGUCGGAGCACUGAUGUGGCACACAAUCAUCCUCACAAAAGAAGAUUUGGAAAAGUUCAAAGCCCUAAGGAUAAUCGUGCGAAUCGGCAGCGGGGUAGAUAACAUCGACGUGAAGGCGGCCGGCGAGCUGGGAAUCGCCGUCUGCAACGUGCCCGGCUACGGUGUCGAGGAAGUCGCCGAUACCACCAUGUGUCUAAUUCUGAACCUGUACCGAAGGACGUACUGGCUCGCCAACAUGGUUCGGGAAGGCAAAAAAUUCACAGGCCCGGAGCAGGUGCGGGACGCAGCUCAAGGUUGCGCCAGAAUACGGGGCGAUACGUUAGGUCUAGUUGGGCUCGGCAGAAUAGGCAGUGCGGUUGCGCUGCGGGCGAAAGUGUUCGGUUUCAAUGUGAGCUUCUACGACCCGUAUCUGCCCGACGGUAUCGAGAAAUCCCUCGGCCUGACUCGAGUAUACACCCUGCAGGAGCUGCUGUUCCACUCAGACUGCGUGUCGUUACAUUGUACAUUAAAUGAACAUAAUCAUCACUUAAUUAACGAGUUCACGAUUAAACAGAUGAGACCCGGUGCAUUUCUAGUGAACACAGCCCGCGGCGGACUGGUGGACGACGAAGCGUUGGCGCACGCACUCAAACAGGGCCGAAUCCGGGCAGCCGCCCUAGACGUUCAUGAGAAUGAGCCAUAUAAUGUAUUUCAGGGAGCCCUGAAGGACGCCCCCAAUCUGCUUUGUACGCCGCAUGCCGCAUUCUACAGCGAAGCUGCCACUACCGAACUGCGUGAGAUGGCAGCCAGUGAAAUCCGACGGGCAAUCAUCGGCAACAUUCCGGACUGUCUGCGGAAUUGCGUGAACAAGGAAUACUUCCUGCGGUCGUCGACAGGCGGCGGCGCCGGCGGUUACUCUGAAGAUAAAAAACUUAUAGCUGGUAUAAAUGGCGGCUAUUAUUCAGGUGGACUACAGCAAGCUCAUAGUACAACACCGCUCGAGACGCCGCACAGCGCCGGUUCCCACGGGCCCCCCAGCGGUCCUCCGCCACCGUCAGUCGCCGUACCACCUGCCUCCGCUGUUACAGCGCCACCACCACAAGCCAACGAUUACCGCUUCCUCGCCCUGCGAUAACUCCACCGGAUCAUCUUUAUACGCGUGACUGUCCGUGUUCAGCUUCCCGGUUCAGUCUCGUGCGAAGGUGCUCUCCUUGGGGAAGGAAGGUGCUAGAUAGAUAGUGUAGAGCAAUCGUCAACUUGCGGAUCGAAUCAAUUCGCCUGUAUGCUUCUGGCAUCUUUAGAACAAAUCUUUCGAAAACACCUCCGCGACCCCUCUUAGUGCCCCCGAUCCAAGUAAUCAUCAUGCGGUCAAGCCGGAACCAUCCGAAGUACAUUAGUUUCAUUAUUAUACCUAUUGUGUAUGACUUAUCAUUAGCAACAAACAGCUGGGAGGCGUCCUUCCGCCCAAACCGUGAAGAAAAUCCGCAAAGAUGACGCGGGUGGAUGGACGAUUGGACAAAGAGCAAAGUGAAAAUGUAAGGUUAAAGUAAACAAAACAAAGCUAUAAACAAAAUCAGAAAUAAAAGAAGCAAACAAAUAAAACCAACCUGCAACUAACGGGAUGGAUUGAUCCCUCAUUUUAAACCUACUGAGACCAUCAAAAGCAAGAGCCGCAGUUGAUUGUGACAUUAUUCGCGUUGGUACACAUACAAAUUCUCACAUAGACACUAGGCAGCAGCAGGAUAGUUUGAAAAUAUGAAGAUUUGAGUGUGUUUAAAAAAAUAAAAAAAAGUAACUACACACAACAGUUGGCAGGAUCGAUAAUGAUUUACUUAGCUGGUAAAACUAUUAUUCAGUGGAGAUUGCGAGCGCGAGGUUUAAUAUUAGUGGAUGCAGCGUAAGAAAACAUGUGAGAAAUGAUUAAUUAGUAAGGACAUGUGAGAAGUUACUGUAGUAGUAAACAAAGUAUAAGCAAAACAUACAAAACAUACAAAAAAAAAGCGGACAGAAGAAGUAAAAAAAACCUACAAAAUAGAUUUUGUGUAAGAAAAGUAACAAACUAUUGUAAAAAAUACAGGUGUAAAAAUACACAAACACACAGACACAUACACAAAUUUAAGAAGUAGAAAACACAAAAAGAGAGUUUAGAGUCAAACCAACUAAGAUGGCAGAUGCAAACCACCAACCAUUAAUUUCAAACAAUAGUUUCCGAAAGCGUGAGGAAACAGAACAGAACAAUCUAGCGGAGCAAAACGAAAGGAGAUCCUCUUAAAAAUAUUUAAAGAUAAAACAGAACGGUAUACUUCACUUCCAAGAGAAACAAAAAAAACAUCAACGUUAGACAUGGAAACGAGAAACUUUAUUGGUUAGAAAUUUAAAUGAGAAUAAAAAUAUAAAAAACCGAUAACAAUACAAAGCAAAACAAAAACAUGCGUGAGCUGAGAAUGACCUAUUUGGUAUAUUUUGGUCUAUCGAAAGCACCAUUUGGAGAUUGGGCUAUGUUCUGGUUUGGCAGGAUUCUUCGAGUGUUCGGCUAACGUUACCGUAAACUAUUAUUAGAGUUAUGAUCGAACCGAACUGGACCGUAUCCCGUUGAAUUUGAAUAACAUUAUCCCUUAUUUGGGUUUUCGGUAGCAAGUAUCAUCUAGUUGUUUGCAUAGAAACACAAUCAAGACAACAAAACAAAUGUAAACACUCAUACUUAUAUGUUGUAGAAGUAGGUACACAGUGGUAAAAAAUACAAACUAAAAUUUCAUCUUAUUUUGUUUUUAAACCGACGAUAACUGAUAAUUUUUGAGUUAUAUUUUAUUUUUCUCUGUGGGUAGAAGAACAGAAAUUCCUUUUAUUUUUAAAACUGUACGUAGGGAUCUUAUACAUAGCUAAGUGCAUACAAUAAGGCAAGCACCCAGAGCAAGAGCGAAUGUCAGGCAGGCACAUGUUGUGCGAAUGAGAGUGUGAGCGAGGCGCAAACGUUGUGCUAGUUGUGAUUUCGUCGACAUCCGCCUUCCAAAAAAGGCAAUCCCUUUUUUUCUGAAAAACAAAAAUCAAUCAAUAUUCUUUCAUUCUGAUAGGUAUUUUUUUCCGGGAUUUUCAUCCCUUCUGUUAAAUUAAUAUGUAUCCCUUAGAGAAGCUGAUCGAGAAAAUUUUUUAUUCAAAAAAUGCUUUAGAAUUUAAAGCGUUUAACAACCAAAAUCAACUCUAAACUUCAUGAUGACAUGAUCACCCUUUGUGAGUUUGUCAUUUUUAUUUGUUUAAUAUUUGCCUUUCCCGGCUUGGAAUACAUCAAAACCUGUGUACCGAAAAAUUUCUAGAAAAACACAGAUACCUUAUAUAUCUAUCAUAUGAGCUACAAAUUUUAAAGAUUGCCCAAUUCUCCAGUCUUAAUGGUUUUCAAGCUUGCAACAUCGACAACAAAUCAGUACGGAUAUAAAAAAAAAAAACAAAUCUACAACUAGCACAACAAUUUUCGUUUGUUUGUUUUUUUCUUUGUGUAGAAGUAUACUUUCAUUUAAAAUUAAAACAAAAAAUAAAAUGAACAAUCUCAAACAAAUAGCAUCCCAACA
This is an RNA transcript of Uranotaenia lowii, 4460 nucleotides long. It is a transcript of the gene named C-terminal-binding protein, with no coding region annotated. Lineage: Eukaryota; Metazoa; Arthropoda; Insecta; Diptera; Culicidae. The record is from RefSeq and is a predicted model, not a curated record. The transcript is spliced from 9 exons.